AACAAAAUAUUUACAUAUGUAUGUGCAUCUACAUAUACUACAUAUAGAUGUAAAUAUGUAUGUGUAGUGGUGUGUAUACUACUUAGUAAUUUUGUUGAUAUAUGAUUUGCGUUGCCGCUCAGCUGUCGAAUCGCUGCUGCUCGUCGGAAUUUUAUUAUUGUGUUAUUAUUUAUUAAGUAAGUUCGCAAAGGUCAAGUGGGCGAUGUUUAUUUUGCUGGGUUACUCAACACUGCACAACUUACACAUCUGCAUACAUGUACAUACAUAUGGUAUGUUCAUAUGGUAGUUACGCCUGCCGCCCACUUUUUUUUUGCCAUUUGCCUUGCGCGCCACUUACGCUCUCCCGGCGCACCACUUCCCCCGUUUCAGAUUUGUUUGGUGUUUUUUAUUGCUUAUCCACUUGUUAAAUUUUAAAACGUUUGCCGUUGGCAUUCAAAUAUGUAGUUCCCUUUUUGGCAGUCUAGCAUUGUUUUCGUCGCUGUCGUUGAACACUUUUGGCGCUCUCUUACACGCACUCUCUCUCUCUUACUCUCUCUCUCUGGAAUGCCUCUCUUCGCUCAUCCUGCGCUCGCCCACGGCAAAUGUUAUCGAUUUUUCAGCCUGCCUGCCCUCAACAAUUUGCCUCGCAUUCAACACGGCUCUGCGAGAGCUCCGCAAUCAAAAAUUAAAUUCACCGUUUAAAUUGUUGCCCAACAGUUGAGUUUUACUGAAUUGCUUAGCAAAUUAUCUCCAUUAUCAAGCGCGCUGUGCACCGUUAUAUCAAAAUCAAAUUGUUAAAAUACUAGACAUUCCUAAAAAACCGGUUCCGUUCUCAAAAGAAAUUCAUGCUAUUAACAAAAUUUACGCUUAGAACGCUAGAAAAAAGAAAGAAAAAAAAA
This is a non-coding RNA of Drosophila virilis, 878 nucleotides long. The record is from RefSeq and is a predicted model, not a curated record. NCBI's taxonomy places the organism in Eukaryota, Metazoa, Arthropoda, Insecta, Diptera, Drosophilidae.